Molecule: transfer RNA, 83 nt
Filed under: Bacilli bacterium
Lineage: Bacteria; Bacillati; Bacillota; Bacilli
Description: tRNA-Leu
Rfam family: tRNA
About the family: Transfer RNA (tRNA) molecules are approximately 80 nucleotides in length.
Source: RNAcentral
GGGGCUAUGGCGAAACUGGUAGACGCGUUACUCUCAGACGGUAAUGUUUUAACGUGUGAGUUCGACUCUCACUAGCCCCACCA